RNAcentral lists this ribosomal RNA (301 nucleotides) under uncultured bacterium. RNAcentral's name for it is "partial 16S ribosomal RNA". It matches the Rfam family "Bacterial small subunit ribosomal RNA", at positions 509 to 809 of the family's 1533-position model. The record is from RNAcentral.
CAGUCGCCGCGGUAACACAGAGGGUGCGAGCGUUAAUCGGAUUUACUGGGCGUAAAGCGUGCGUAGGCGGCUUUUUAAGUCGGAUGUGAAAUCCCUGAGCUUAACUUAGGAAUUGCAUUCGAUACUGGGAAGCUAGAGUAUGGGAGAGGAUGGUAGAAUUCCAGGUGUAGCGGUGAAAUGCGUAGAGAUCUGGAGGAAUACCGAUGGCGAAGGCAGCCAUCUGGCCUAAUACUGACGCUGAGGUACGAAAGCAUGGGGAGCAAACAGGAUUAGAGACCCCCGUAGUCCCUGUCUCUUAUAA